GACGAACGCUGGCGGCGUGCUUAACACAUGCAAGUCGAACGGAAAGGCCCUGCUUGCAGGGUACUCGAGUGGCGAACGGGUGAGUAACACGGGGGUGAUCUGCCCUGCACUUCGGGAUAAGCCUGGGAAACUGGGUCUAAUACCGGAUAGGAGCCAUUUUUAGUGUGAUGGUUGGAAAGUUUUUUUCGGUGUAGGAUGAGCUCGCGGCCUAUCAGCUUGUUGGUGGGGUAAUGGCCUACCAAGGCGGCGACGGGUAGCCGGCCUGAGAGGGUGGACGGCCACAUUGGGACUGAGAUACGGCCCAGACUCCUACGGGAGGCAGCAGUGGGGAAUAUUGCACAAUGGGCGCAAGCCUGAUGCAGCGACGCCGCGUGGGGGAGGACGGCCUUCGGGUUGUAAACUCCUUUCGCUAGGGACGAAGCUUUUUGUGACGGUACCUAGAUAAGAAGCACCGGCUAACUACGUG
Molecule: ribosomal RNA, 466 nt
Filed under: uncultured bacterium
Lineage: Bacteria
Description: partial 16S ribosomal RNA
Rfam family: Bacterial small subunit ribosomal RNA
Source: RNAcentral